UACGGGGGGGGCAAGCGUUGUUCGGAAUUACUGGGCGUAAAGGGCUCGUAGGCGGCCAACUAAGUCGGAUGUGAAAUCCCCAGGCUCAACCUGGGAACUGCAUCCGAUACUGGAUGGCUUGAAUUCGGGAGAGGGAUGCAGAAUUCCAGGUGUAGCGGUGAAAUGCGUAGAUAUCUGGAGGAAUACCGGUGGCGAAGGCGGCAUCCUGGACCGACAUUGACGCUGAGGAGCGAAAGCCAGAGGGGCAAACGGG
This 253-nucleotide ribosomal RNA is filed under the name uncultured bacterium. RNAcentral's name for it is "partial 16S ribosomal RNA". It matches the Rfam family "Bacterial small subunit ribosomal RNA", at positions 524 to 776 of the family's 1533-position model. The record is from RNAcentral.